AAAAAACCCACGGGACCACACGCGAUAAACAAUUCACUAAGAGAAAAGAUUACAAGGUGAUUACCGACUCCACGGACUCUACCUCUCUUAACCUUCUAUGAAUCUCGCGCAAUCCUCCGGGUUGUCCACGCCCUCACGUUCGAAUCUACGAACGCUUCCACUUCGAAUCCACGAAGCUUCAAUCACGCCGAAUCCACGACGCCACUCGAAUCCACGAGCCCACGAUCCGAAUCCAUGAACCGCCUUCGUUCACGCCGAAUCCACGACGCCGUUCAUGAAGAAUAUC
RNAcentral lists this long non-coding RNA (286 nucleotides) under Ananas comosus (pineapple). RNAcentral describes it as "long non-coding RNA (ACOM_LNC043717)". Lineage: Eukaryota; Viridiplantae; Streptophyta; Magnoliopsida; Poales; Bromeliaceae. The record is from RNAcentral.